This is an RNA transcript of Xyrauchen texanus (razorback sucker), 878 nucleotides long. It is a transcript of the gene named sterile alpha motif domain-containing protein 15-like, with no coding region annotated. The record is from RefSeq and is a predicted model, not a curated record. The transcript has 6 exons. Lineage: Eukaryota; Metazoa; Chordata; Actinopteri; Cypriniformes; Catostomidae.
UCAAACUUUACCGCGCUCACAGAUUUAGCUAUGAGUGCAUAACCAACACAAACAUGGAGUUCCUGCUCUGGAGUUGUCAGGAUGUUGCACACUGGAUCGAGACUAUCGGAUUCCCGCAGUAUAAGAUGUGUUGUGGAAUUGUGGAGGACCUGUUUUUAGAUAAACAAAACAUGUUUUCUCUUGAACGCCCCCAUGUUGUGAGGGGUCUGCGUGAACUGUUGCUCUCGUGUCCUAUCAUGGACACACACAGGAGAUCAACGCUUGAAGAGGUGGUCACCAUAAACUGCCAUUGUGACAUCACUGAGCACAACAUUUAUCCACAAUUUCCCCCUUUGUGUUCAGAACAAGAAAGAAAGUCAUGUAGGGUUACAACAACAACAACACGGGGGCGUGUUUCUCAGAGAAUUUUAUCACGGGCAGAAAACUCAUUUAUGUGAACUGCUUUUACUUGCCACGGUUAGGAAUCACCGACUUCCAACAUAUGAAGGUCAUCUCAGCUCGUGUUCGAGAUCUGCUCGGCGUCUCUGAACCGCUGUGGAGUCGAAGUGUUGCAGAUCCUCCUCAUGAUGACAUCACAGUUUUCCUGCAGGUGAAGAGCAGAACCGGCCAGAACACAGAGUCACUUGACUACGAGCGUUUCCUCAUCACAAGAGCAAUAAAUGAGCUCAAAUAAAAACCAUCAAUUCAAGUUUUUAUAUAUUGGGUAAAUCUUGGGGUUUUAUCAGAGGACCAAAUGUUUGAGAGUUUCACCAUGACAACUUCCUCUUCUUGCUCUAUAAAUAUGGAUUGAAAUGUAUCGCAGUACAAAUACAUUUUUUAUCAUAUGUAUUUCAUGCACCAAACACUAUAUUAACAUUUAAAAAAGAGAAAUUGUCAAA